This 253-nucleotide ribosomal RNA is filed under the name uncultured bacterium. Its description in RNAcentral is "partial 16S ribosomal RNA". It matches the Rfam family "Bacterial small subunit ribosomal RNA", at positions 524 to 776 of the family's 1533-position model. The record is from RNAcentral.
UACGUAGGGGGCAAGCGUUGUCCGGAUUUAUUGGGCGUAAAGAGCGUGUAGGCGGCCUGUUAGGUCAGCUGUGAAAACUCGAGGCUCAACCUCGAGACGUCGGUUGAAACCAUCUGGCUAGAGUCCGGAAGAGGAGUGUGGAAUUCCCGGUGUAGCGGUGAAAUGCGCAGAUAUCGGGAAGAACACCCGUGGCGAAGGCGGCACUCUGGAACGGUACUGACGCUGAGAUGCGAAAGCGUGGGGAGCGAACAGG